Molecule: ribosomal RNA, 549 nt
Filed under: uncultured archaeon
Lineage: Archaea
Description: bacterial SSU rRNA
Rfam family: Archaeal small subunit ribosomal RNA
Source: RNAcentral
CGGGGUGCAGCAGGCGCGAAAACUUUACAAUGCUGGAAACAGCGAUAAGGGGACCUCGAGUGCCAGGUUACAAAUCUGGCUGUCGUGAUGCCUAAAAAGCAUUGCAUAGCAAGGGCCGGGCAAGACCGGUGCCAGCCGCCGCGGUAACACCGGCGGCUCGAGUGGUAACCGUUAUUAUUGGGUCUAAAGGGUCUGUAGCCGGCCGGAUAAGUCUCUUGGGAAAUCCAGCAGCUCAACUGUUGGGCUUUCAGGAGAUACUGUCUGGCUCGAGGCCGGGAGAGGUGAGAGGUACUUCAGGGGUAGGGGUGAAAUCUUGUAAUCCUUGAAGGACCACCAGUGGCGAAGGCGUCUCACCAGAACGGACCUGACGGCAAGGGACGAAAGCUAGGGGCACGAACCGGAUUAGAUACCCGGGUAGUCCUAGCCGUAAACGAUACUCGCUAGGUGUCGGCCACGGUGCGACCGUUGUCGGUGCCGUAGGGAAGCCGUGAAGCGAGCCACCUGGGAAGUACGGCCGCAAGGCUGAAACUUAAAGGAAUUGGCGGGGGA